GAUGAACGCUGGCGGCGUGCCUAAUACAUGCAAGUCGAGCGAACGGACGAGAAGCUUGCUUCUCUGAUGUUAGCGGCGGACGGGUGAGUAACACGUGGAUAACCUACCUAUAAGACUGGGAUAACUUCGGGAAACCGUAGCUAAUACCGGAUAAUAUUUUGAACCGCAUGGUUCAAAAGUGAAAGACGGUCUUGCUGUCACUUAUAGAUGGAUCCGCGCUGCAUUAGCUAGUUGGUAAGGUAACGGCUUACCAAGGCAACGAUGCAUAGCCGACCUGAGAGGGGGAUCGGCCACCCUGGACCUGAGCCACGGUCCAGACUCCUACGGAAGGCAGCAGUAGGGAAUCUUCCGCAAUGGGCGAAAGCCUGACGGAGCAACGCCGCGUGAGUGAUGAAGGUCUUCGGAUCGUAAAACUCUGUUAUUAGGGAAGAACAUAUGUGUAAGUAACUGUGCACAUCUUGACGGUACCUAAUCAGAAAGCCACGGCUAACUACGU
This 496-nucleotide ribosomal RNA is filed under the name uncultured bacterium. Its description in RNAcentral is "partial 16S ribosomal RNA". It matches the Rfam family "Bacterial small subunit ribosomal RNA", at positions 28 to 506 of the family's 1533-position model. The record is from RNAcentral.